GCCUGGGUAGCUCAGUCGGCAGAGCAUUUCCAUGGUAAGGAAAAGGCCGGGAGUUCGAUCCUCCCCCCAGGCUCCA
RNAcentral lists this transfer RNA (76 nucleotides) under Candidatus Doudnaibacteriota bacterium. RNAcentral describes it as "Candidatus Doudnabacteria bacterium tRNA-Thr". It matches the Rfam family "tRNA". Rfam says of the family: Transfer RNA (tRNA) molecules are approximately 80 nucleotides in length. The record is from RNAcentral. Lineage: Bacteria; Candidatus Doudnaibacteriota.